RNAcentral lists this unclassified non-coding RNA (339 nucleotides) under soil metagenome. RNAcentral's name for it is "partial contains 5.8S ribosomal RNA, internal transcribed spacer 2, and large subunit ribosomal RNA". The stretch from base 1 to 120 matches the Rfam family "5.8S ribosomal RNA", at positions 35 to 154 of the family's 154-position model. The record is from RNAcentral.
GAUGAAGAACGCAGCGAAAUGCGAUAAGUAGUGUGAAUUGCAGAAUUCAGUGAAUCAUCGAAUCUUUGAACGCACAUUGCGCCCCUUGGUAUUCCAUGGGGCAUGCUUGUUCGAGCGUCAUUUGUACUCUCAAGCUUUGCUUGGUGUUGGGUGCUUGUCCUCUCCACUGCGGUUGGACUCACCUUAAAUUCAUUGGCAGCCGAUAUAUUGGUUUUGAAGCGCAGCACACGUAGCGAUUCAGGCUGGAUAUAUCAGCGUCCAGCAAGGCUAUUUAACACUUUUGACCUCGGAUCAAGUAGGGAUACCCGCUGAACUUAAGCAUAUCAAUAAAGCGGAGGA